UUCAGAUAUGGACCUUGCUGCUAAAGGUCUAGGAGCUAAAGAAUGGAACAACUCACUAAAAACCAAGCUGUCGCUACUUCCCAAGAAGCUGUUCAGAAUCAGAAUGAGCCGCAACUUCGGGAUGAAAAUGCUCACAAUGACAAAUCUGUCCACGGAGUGCUUAAUCCAACUUACCAAGCUGGGUUACGACGCGACGCCGUUCAACCAGA
This 209-nucleotide ribosomal RNA is filed under the name uncultured prokaryote. RNAcentral's name for it is "partial 16S ribosomal RNA". The record is from RNAcentral.